AGAGAAUGCUAAUGAGCUGUGAAAUGACCAAAGAUCUGGCAGCAGAAGGGAAAAGAAAAAAUAAUGGGAACAAGAGGAUUUAUCUGACUCAACUGGAGAUGGCUCCCUUCCCUAAUUUAUUGUUGCAUCCUGAAGCUUCCCCCAUGCUGGGCUCAGUGUGAACAAACAGCGCGGGAGAAUGCAACCACUGCAGAGGCAUAUGUUUGAGAUGCCUGGCCACUGGAGGUCAUCUCGUCUACUAUGUUCACCACAGAUAAAGAAUGAAAAGAGAAUAUACAACCUUGUGAUUGCUAGCAGUGAAAGCUCAGAGUUAUGACAUAACAGAAUUAAAUUGAGUUCAAGCAGCUUGGAACAGCUUGAUGGCUUCUUUCUGCCACAGAAGGUGCCAGGUGUCCUGCAUCUAGACUCUGACAGCCUAUUGAUUGGUUGGAAAGAACCCAAGGGGACAUGGGCACAGCAUCCCUUCCUGGGCCUCUUCCUCAGGUGGUGCGGGUGGGAAAUCAGGAAGCUCCCAGACAUGGAGCAACUCAGGUGAUCAUGGAACAGAGAGAAGAGGGGCUUGAGCAGAGAGAAUGCUUAGAGGCUAAGCGAUGGGCAAGUGAGAGGGAAAGAGCCGCGACAGACAGAGCUGGCUGCCUAGGGGUCUCAGAGGCUUCAUCCUGCAGGCGGCAGGCGGCAGGACAAAGGGACCUUCGCACUCGAGAUCAAGAUUCCAAGGAGUUAAACGCUACCACGCAGCCCGACCUGGAUGGGAUUUGCUCCUGGGUACAAAACGGGACACUGAUCAAAAUCAACUUGGACAAGUGACAAGAGUGAGUCUUAUGUCGGUGGAUGUCUUUUAAGGUCGUUGGAGGGAAGAGGACGGGAGGGGUGUGCCGAGGGGUAGGUGGAGAGAGGCACCGAGUCCAGAGCCGGGAUAUAAAUGCACCAGGAGCCGGGGAGCAGAGGAGCAAAUGAGUGGGGGAAAGAGUGAGAGGAAGAGUUGGAGAAAAGUCGGGGGAAAGUAGGGACAGGGUUAAGGGGAGAGAGGAGGAUGAGGGCGGCGAGGAGAGAUUAAAAGGGGAAGGGGGGUCGCUGGAGAGGAGGGCGGACUGUGGAUCGGAGGUAGGGAGAGGGGCGAGGGGAGUGCGCGGGGUGGGGGGCGCCGGGGCGAGGAG
This 1157-nucleotide long non-coding RNA is filed under the name Pan troglodytes (chimpanzee). RNAcentral describes it as "long non-coding RNA NONPTRT010067". Lineage: Eukaryota; Metazoa; Chordata; Mammalia; Primates; Hominidae. The record is from RNAcentral.